This 476-nucleotide ribosomal RNA is filed under the name uncultured bacterium. Its description in RNAcentral is "SSU rRNA". It matches the Rfam family "Bacterial small subunit ribosomal RNA", at positions 26 to 518 of the family's 1533-position model. The record is from RNAcentral.
AGGACGAACGCUGGCGGCGUGCUUAACACAUGCAAGUCGAGCGAGGCCCUUCCUUCGGGAAGGUGCCCUAGCGGCGAACGGGUGAGUAACACGUGGGCAACCUGCCCCUAGCACUGGGAUAACUCCGGGAAACCGGGGCUAAUACCGGAUAUCACCUUUGAGGGCAUCCUCUUUGGUUGAAAGGAUUCUGGCUAGGGAUGGGCCCGCGGCCUAUCAGCUUGUUGGUGGGGUAAUGGCCUACCAAGGCGACGACGGGUAGCCGGCCUGAGAGGGCGACCGGCCACACUGGGACUGAGACACGGCCCAGACUCCUACGGGAGGCAGCAGUGGGGAAUAUUGCACAAUGGGCGAAAGCCUGAUGCAGCGACGCCGCGUGAGGGAUGACGGCCUUGGGUUGUAAACCUCUUUCAGCAGGGACGAAGCGAAAGUGACGGUACCUGCAGAAGAGCACCGGCCAACUACGCGCCAGCAGCCGC